RNAcentral lists this unclassified non-coding RNA (253 nucleotides) under uncultured Micrococcaceae bacterium. Its description in RNAcentral is "contains 16S-23S intergenic spacer region". It matches the Rfam family "Bacterial small subunit ribosomal RNA", at positions 524 to 776 of the family's 1533-position model. Lineage: Bacteria; Bacillati; Actinomycetota; Actinomycetes; Micrococcales; Micrococcaceae. The record is from RNAcentral.
UACGUAGGGCGCAAGCGUUAUCCGGAACUAUUGGGCGUACAGAGCUCGUAGGCGGUUUGUCGCGUCUGCCGUGAAAGUCCGGGGCUUAACUCCGGAUCUGCGGCGGGUACGGGCAGACUUGAGUGAUGUAGGGGAGACUGGAAUUCCUGGGGUAGCUGUGAAAUGCGCAUAUAUCAGGGGGGACACCGAUGGCGAAGGCAGGUCUCUGGGCAUUAACUGACGCUGAGGAGCGAAAGCAUGGGGAGCGAACAGG